Lycium ferocissimum is the source of this 1031-nucleotide long non-coding RNA. RefSeq lists it as uncharacterized. The record is from RefSeq and is a predicted model, not a curated record. Lineage: Eukaryota; Viridiplantae; Streptophyta; Magnoliopsida; Solanales; Solanaceae. The transcript has 2 exons.
CUCUGUGUAACAACGUAUGCAUCCAGCUCAUUCUUCAAACGGUAACUGUACUUUUUUCUUUCCAAUUGGCAACAGAUUUUUUGUUACCUUCUCUUGUAAGUUUGGGAUUUGAAUUUCAAUUGGGGAACGGUCAUACUUCAUUGGGUUCUAUAAAUAGAAACCCUUCUCUUCAUUUUUAAGGGGGAUUUUAAGAGUAGAACAUAGCCACAAUGGGUUAGUACACCCAUAAUGGGGUUUUUGACAACCCUCAAGAGUUCAAAUACUUAGAAGCUCGGCAAAAGCCUUGAAUUUUGAGGAAGUCUAAGCUCGUACUUUAAUUUUUGGAAGUCAUUUUUGUUCGUUGAAAAUCGAUUCGUCUGAAAGGUAGUUUGUCGUCUCUCUUCGCCCCCGACGCUGCACCCUAAAAAGGAACCCUUGGUUGAAUAUAUACUCCUCCACUUGGGGGAGUUGAUUACUCAUUCUUCACCUCUUCCCUUGUUGCAUGACUUGGGGGAGUUGUUUCUCAAUCCUGAAUGAUCCUGAGCUAUUGCCAUGUCUAUGAAUUUGCUUCAUCUGCUGCUGAACCAAAGAAGCUGCUGACAUGCUUGACCAGCUAUGUUAUUACUACUGUUUCACUUUAACUGUUCAUUUGUUGGGCUUAAAGCUCUAAGUUUGCUGUUGCAAUCGUUAUACCUAAUGGCUGUUGUCACAUUGAUGUUAUCGCUGUAUUUUGCGCUAAGUAUCUCCACCUCAACUCUAUCCUGAAAUAUUAUGGUGGGUGAAUGCUGCUGCCCCUGGGGAGUCUCAAACCUUCUGCUGUAUUAAGUCUAAAAAGUGGCUGCUGUAUAGUUGUUAGUUGAACCACCGUCACAUUUGAAAUGGUUGUUCCUACUUUGUGAUAAGCUGUUCAAAUGCUACUUCUUUAUGUGAAUGAACACUUGAUGUGGUUGGCUGCUCCAUUCUGAUGAUAUUUUGGGAUAAAUUGAUUGCUAUUGCUGUUACCUGUUGCUAUAGUAUUUAAGUUGCUGCACUUGAAAGAAAGCUGGCUGCUA